Molecule: ribosomal RNA, 254 nt
Filed under: uncultured bacterium
Lineage: Bacteria
Description: partial 16S ribosomal RNA
Rfam family: Bacterial small subunit ribosomal RNA
Source: RNAcentral
UACGGAGGGGGCUAGCGUUGUUCGGAAUUACUGGGCGUAAAGGGCGCGUAGGCGGCGCGAUAAGUUGGGCGUGAAAGGCCCGGGCUCAACCCGGGGACUGCGCUUGAUACUGUCGCGCUGUGAGUCCGGGAGAGGAUGGCGGAAUUCCCAGUGUAGAGGUGAAAUUCGUAGAUAUUGGGAAGAACACCAGUGGCGAAGGCGGCUCACUGGCCCGGUACUGACGCUGAGGUGCGAAAGCGUGGGGAGCAAACAGG